CUACCAUGGCAGUCACGGGUAACGGAGAAUUAGGGUUCGAUUCCGGAGAGGGAGCCUGAGAAACGGCUACCACAUCUACGGAAGGCAGCAGGCGCGAAAAUUGCCCAAUCCUGAUUCAGGGAGGCAGUGACAAGAAAUAACAACUCUCGACUAUGUUGAGAAGUGUAAUGAGGAUAAUUUACAAACCUUACCAAAUGCAAUUGGAGGGCAAGUCUGGUGCCAGCAGCCGCGGUAAUUCCAGCUCCAAUAGCGUAUAUUAAAGUUGUUGCAGUUAAAAAGCUCGUAGUUGAAAAUCUGAUUGCUCAGGUCUCCAGCCUUUAGGCGGGGAUUCUGACAGUCAUCCGCUUGCAAACAUAUGUUCGAUCUUCACCGGUUGGCUAUGUGAGUAAGCACUUUACCUUGAGAAAAACAGAGUGUUCCAGGCAGGUUUGUCCGGAAUGCAUUAGCAUGGAAUAAUAGAACAUGACUGAAGUCUAUUUAUUGGUUAAAGGCUUUAGUAAUGAUUAAUAGGAACAGUCGGGGGCAUUCGUACUCAGCAGUCAGAGGUGAAAUUCUAAGAUUUGCUGAAGACGAACUAAUGCGAAAGCAUUUGCCAAGGAUGUUUUCAUUAAUCAAGAACGAAAGUUAGGGGAUC
Molecule: ribosomal RNA, 634 nt
Filed under: uncultured eukaryote
Lineage: Eukaryota
Description: SSU rRNA
Rfam family: Eukaryotic small subunit ribosomal RNA
Source: RNAcentral